Monodelphis domestica (gray short-tailed opossum) is the source of this 1621-nucleotide long non-coding RNA. Lineage: Eukaryota; Metazoa; Chordata; Mammalia; Didelphimorphia; Didelphidae. The record is from Ensembl.
AUGUGCUAUUCAAAGCACCUUUGCACAGACGAAUUCUGUGAUGGUAUUAGAGUUUUGGAAGAAGAGAAGGAGGAUUCAUCAGACUCAGAAGAUAUUGAGAAUUUGACCUCUAAGUAUCAGGAUAAAAUCCAGCAAUCCUUAUUGGAUAAUGUUGAUGCCAACUUUCGGAGACGAAAUCCGGUCCAGGCUACCUAUUCCAUCUCACAGGAAUUGGGCUUGGUGAACUUCAUAAGGAAUGAUGAAGAGGACUCCAAACCUGCUGAUGCUCCCAGACAGUCUGGUUCUUUACUAGAAAGGGCCUUGGCUUUUUGGGAUGCCAUGCUGAAAAAGAUUAAGAAUUGGUGGAAAAAAUUGCUUACUUGGUUAGAAGAGAUGCUUUCUGCCCUGAAGAGAAUGGCAACUUUCUUGUGGGAGGGAAUUAAGGAUGGAGCAACUUUCUUGUGGGAGGGAGUUAAGGAUGGAGCAAUUUUCUUGUGGGAGGGAGCAGUGCAUGCAGUGACGACUGUAUGGGAGUGGUUACAGGGCCUGUUUUGAUCCCCUCCAUUUAAUUCCCCCCCUUUCCAUAAAGAGGGCCCAAUAUCAUGGGUAUCUUGUCAGAUUUCUGUAUUUAGGGUGAUAUUAAUUUGAAAGAUUAUAAAAACAUUACAAAAGAUAGAAGAGGCUGAAUUUCCAUGCACAUAACAGAACGCCAAGAGAAGUGUGUAAACCUUCUUUCUAUUUCAUGGUGUGGGAAUUUAUUUUUCAUAUACUGUAUGAAUUGCUGUAAUUAGAGAGAAUUCCUGUGUUCCCCCGUCUGGGGCCUGGGUCAGAGAUAUCAUGUAGCAGGCUGCCUUUUUCAUUUUCUUUGUUCUUGGAAAUCCCAAAGAACAUCAUCCCUUUGGACAGAAUUUGGUUAAGAAAUGAAGGAGGCAAGGCUUCUUUUCCUGUGGACUUGACUGUCCACCUGUGGGGGUGGAUCAGUGGAUGGAGCACUUAUCACCAAUUAAAGAUGUCUGGGGGACAGACAAUGCUAUCUAUGUAUGCAAUUAGAACACCUUGGGGUGUUCAAGGGAGAGGCUGAACAAUGAGCUCCUAAAGAACUAUUUAUUGGACUACCUGACCCAGUUCAGGUCAUCCCUGGUCAGGAGAGAGCCAUGGAAAAUUAUAUCCCUUUAUCACCUGAUAAUGACGAUUAUCUGUGAAAACCUGGUUCCUCUCAGCAAUGAGAUACAGUGCAAAGCUCUGGGACAAUCCUGAGACUUUUUUUUUAAACCCUUACCUUCCAUCUUGGAAUCAAUACUGUACAUUGGUUCCGAGGCAGAAGAGUGGGAAGGGCUAGGCAAUGGGGGUCAAAUGACUUGCCCAGGGUCACACAGCUGGGAAGUGUCUGAGACCAGAUUUGAACCUAGGACCUCCCAUCUCUAGGUCUGGCUCUCAAUCCAUUGAGCUACUCAGCUGCCCCCAAUCCUGAGACUUCUGAUGGGGAAACUAUCCACCUCCAGAGAAAGGGAGUUGUCUUUCACACCAGUGUAUUUAUGGUUUUAUUUUGGGGUUUUGGUUAUGUAUGAGUUUGCUCUGACAACAAGAGCCAGUAUGGAAGUGUGUUUUGCAUGAUAAUAAAAAUGAAAAAAUAAAAUAAACA